AAUCAACGCUGGCGGCGUGCCUAACACAUGCAAGUCGAACGCGAAAGUCCCGCAAGGGAUAAGUAGAGUGGCAAACGGGUGAGUAACGCGUGGGCGGCCUACCUUCGAGUGGGGAGUAACCUUCCGAAAGGAGGGCUAAUACCGCAUGACAUCCCGUGUUUGGAUACACGGACAUCAAAGCCGGGGAUCGUAAGACCUGGCGCUUGAAGAGGGCCCGCGUCCGAUUAGCUAGUUGGUGGGGUAACGGCUCACCAAGGCUCCGAUCGGUAUCCGGCCUGAGAGGGCGGACGGACACACUGGAACUGAGACACGGUCCAGACUCCUACGGGAGGCCAGCAGUGGGGAAUUGUUCGCAAUGGGCGCAAGCCUGACGACGCAACGCCGCGUGGAGGAUGAAAGA
RNAcentral lists this ribosomal RNA (400 nucleotides) under uncultured bacterium. Its description in RNAcentral is "bacterial SSU rRNA". It matches the Rfam family "Bacterial small subunit ribosomal RNA", at positions 32 to 415 of the family's 1533-position model. The record is from RNAcentral.